AAAGAAUCAUUGCCUGGAUUCCUUCCCUCAGACUAGUUUUCUUUUCUGUAUUGAUGUCUGAGGCUCUUCAAAGAAUCGUUACAUCGGAGGAGGUGUAAAAAUACACUGGGCUGGGUGGACAGUGUGGAAACGGGGCUGAGGGCUGGCUGAACCAUGAAACUGAGAGCAUUACAUUUCCCCCAGCAGGUCUUCAGCAAUUCUAC
RNAcentral lists this long non-coding RNA (203 nucleotides) under Chinchilla lanigera (long-tailed chinchilla). RNAcentral's name for it is "lncRNA (ENSCLAG00000026023.1)". Lineage: Eukaryota; Metazoa; Chordata; Mammalia; Rodentia; Chinchillidae. The record is from RNAcentral.